GUGCGAGACCGAUAGCGAACAAAAAUCACAUUUUAUCAAUACUUCAAUACAUGCAAACCGAAAUCCGUAUAAAAGGAUACAUUUGGUAAGCAAAACCUAACCUGAUGGUAUUCGGAACCAUCGCCACCACCCAUGCUCUCUCGUUGUUGCUGUUCGGGACUUUGA
Molecule: ribosomal RNA, 165 nt
Filed under: uncultured Oomycota
Lineage: Eukaryota; Oomycota
Description: uncultured Oomycetes partial large subunit ribosomal RNA
Source: RNAcentral